Molecule: ribosomal RNA, 314 nt
Filed under: Kocuria sp. CNF-35b
Lineage: Bacteria; Bacillati; Actinomycetota; Actinomycetes; Micrococcales; Micrococcaceae
Description: bacterial SSU rRNA
Rfam family: Bacterial small subunit ribosomal RNA
Source: RNAcentral
CAGNCGNCUUACCAUGCAGUCGAACGAUGAUCUCCCGCUUGCGGGGGUGAUUAGUGGCGAACGGGUGAGUAAUACGUGAGUAACCUGCCCUUGACUCUGGGAUAAGCCUGGGAAACCGGGUCUAAUACUGGAUACGACCUUUCAUCGCAUGGUGGGGGGUGGAAAGGGUUUGACUGGUUUUGGAUGGGCUCACGGCCUAUCAGCUUGUUGGUGGGGUAAUGGCUCACCAAGGCGACGACGGGUAGCCGGCCUGAGAGGGUGACCGGCCACACUGGGACUGAGACACGGCCCAGACUCCUACGGGAGGCAGCAGA